UACGUAGGGGGCGAGCGUUGUCCGGAUUUAUUGGGCGUAAAGCGCGCGCAGGCGGUUUCUUAAGUCUGAUGUGAAAGCCCUCGGCUUAACCGAGGAGGGUCAUUGGAAACUGGGAGACUUGAGUGCAGAAGAGGAAAGUGGAAUUCCAAGUGUAGCGGUGAAAUGCGUAGAGAUUUGGAGGAACACCAGUGGCGAAGGCGACUUUCUGGUCUGUAACUGACGCUGAGGCGCGAAAGCGUGGGGAGCAAACAGG
This 253-nucleotide ribosomal RNA is filed under the name uncultured bacterium. Its description in RNAcentral is "partial 16S ribosomal RNA". It matches the Rfam family "Bacterial small subunit ribosomal RNA", at positions 524 to 776 of the family's 1533-position model. The record is from RNAcentral.